GACGAAGGAUGCAAGCGUUAUCCGGAUUCAUUGGGUUUAAAGGGUGCGUAGGCGGCCUGCUAAGUCAGUGGUGAAAUCUUCUCGCUUAACGAGAAAACUGCCAUUGAUACUGGUGGGCUUGAGUACAGAUGCUGUGGGCGGAAUAUGACAUGUAGUGGUGAAAUACAUAGAGAUGUCAUAGAACACCGAUUGCGAAGGCAGCUCACAAAACUGUAACUGACGCUGAGGCACGAAAGUGCGGGGAGCAAACAGG
RNAcentral lists this ribosomal RNA (253 nucleotides) under uncultured bacterium. RNAcentral's name for it is "partial 16S ribosomal RNA". It matches the Rfam family "Bacterial small subunit ribosomal RNA", at positions 524 to 776 of the family's 1533-position model. The record is from RNAcentral.